RNAcentral lists this ribosomal RNA (1672 nucleotides) under Omobranchus fasciolatoceps. Its description in RNAcentral is "16S ribosomal RNA". The stretch from base 157 to 1559 matches the Rfam family "Bacterial large subunit ribosomal RNA". The record is from RNAcentral. Lineage: Eukaryota; Metazoa; Chordata; Actinopteri; Blenniiformes; Blenniidae.
GCCUAUCAGCUAGCUCACACACUAAAAGCAAGCUUUACAUAUUUAUACCCCUAAAUAUACCACCACUAAAAAACAAAACAUUUACCCACCCUAGUACAGGCGAUGGAACAGAACAAAAGAAGCAAUAGAAAAAGUACCGCAAGGGAAAGCUGAAAAAGAAAUGAAACAAAUCAGUCAAGCAAGAAAAAGCAGAGAUUUUCCCUUGUACCUUUUGCAUCAUGAUUUAGCCAGCCUAAUUCAAGCAAAGAGAACUGUAGUUUGAAACCCCGAAUCUAAGUGAGCUACUCCAGGACAGUCUAUUUAUAGGACCUACCCGUCUCUGUGGCAAGAGAGUGGGGAGAGCCUCGAGUAGAGGUGAUAAACCUACCGAACUUAGUGAUAGCUGGUUGUCUGAGAAAUGAAUAGAAGUUCAGCAUUUAAAUUUCUUAAACCACACACCAACUAUAGGUUAAAGAAAUUUAAACAGUUAGUCAAAAGAGGUACAGCCCUUUUGACCAUAGACACAACUUUACCCAGGUGGAUAAGGAUUACAGUUUAAUUAAGGCAAAGUACACUAGUGGGCCUAAAAGCAGCCAUCUAUAUAAAAAGCGUUAAAGCUUAAGUACCUCCCCCCGCCUAUAAUACCCAUACCUUUCUCCCACUCCCCUUCCCCUAUCAGACUUCCUUAUGCCCCCAUAAAGGUAAUUAUGCUAAAAUGAGUAAUAAGAGAAACGACUCUCUCCUAGCACAAGUGUAAACCAGAACGGACUACCCGCUGGUAAUUAACCGGACCCAAAAAGAGGGAACUGACCUAUAAACAAAAAACUAGAAAAACAACCAACCCUCCCCCGUUAACCUUACACAAGAGUGCCCCCCGGGAAAGACUAAAAGGGAAGGAAGGAACUCGGCAAACUAAGCCUCGCCUGUUUACCAAAAACAUCGCCUCCUGACUACUAAUUAUAGGAGGUCCCGCCUGCCCUGUGAUCAUGUAUUUAACGGCCGCGGUAUCCUAACCGUGCAAAGGUAGCGCAAUCACUUGUCUUUUAAAUGAAGACCUGUAUGAAUGGCAUAACGAGGGCUUAACUGUCUCCCUUCCCCAGUCAAUGAAAUUGAUCUCCCCGUGCAGAAGCGGGGAUAGUUCUAUAAGACGAGAAGACCCUGUGGAGCUUUAGACACAAAGAUGGCCCCUGUAAAGAAUACUCACACCAAGAGCACAAACAAAAGGAAAACCCACCUUGCUGUCUUCGGUUGGGGCGACCACGGGGUAAUAACCAACCCCCGAGAGGAAUAAAAGAACUUUUUUAAACCUAGAGCGCCAGCUCAAAGUACCAGAACAUCUGACCUAUAUGACCCGGCUUUUAAGCCGAUCAACGAAACCAGUUACCCCAGGGAUAACAGCGCAAUCCUUUCCCAGAGCCCAUAUCGACGAAAGGGUUUACGACCUCGAUGUUGGAUCAGGACAUCCUAAUGGUGCAGCCGCUAUUAAGGGUUCGUUUGUUCAACGAUUAAAGUCCUACGUGAUCUGAGUUCAGACCGGAGUAAUCCAGGUCAGCUUCUAUCUAUAAAUUGUUCUUUUCUAGUACGAAAGGAUCGAAAAGACAAGGCCAAUGCCUCAAGCAAGCCUUCUUUCCAUCUAAUGAAACCAACUUAAUUAGACAAAGAAAACUCUUACCUAACCCUAGAUAUAGGGAGU